Small nuclear RNA from Echinops telfairi (small Madagascar hedgehog), 164 nucleotides. Its record names the gene U1. It matches the Rfam family "U1 spliceosomal RNA". From Rfam's summary of the family: U1 is a small nuclear RNA (snRNA) component of the spliceosome (involved in pre-mRNA splicing). Its 5' end forms complementary base pairs with the 5' splice junction, thus defining the 5' donor site of an intron. The record is from Ensembl. Lineage: Eukaryota; Metazoa; Chordata; Mammalia; Afrosoricida; Tenrecidae.
AUAUUUUCCUGACAGGUGAGACACCAUGAACACGAAGGUGGUUUUCCCAGGACGAGGUUCAUUCAUUACACUGUGGAUGUGCUGACCCCUGAGAUUUCCCCAGAUUUGGGAAACUCGACUGCAUAAUAUGUGGCAGCGGGGGACUGCGUUUGCUUUCUGCCCUG